This is a long non-coding RNA of Aquila chrysaetos chrysaetos, 395 nucleotides long. RefSeq lists it as uncharacterized. NCBI's taxonomy places the organism in Eukaryota, Metazoa, Chordata, Aves, Accipitriformes, Accipitridae. The transcript has 3 exons. The record is from RefSeq and is a predicted model, not a curated record.
GGAAUGGUGCUAGUCCUUCUCCAGCAAAUUGUAUUUAAUUGUAGUUCACUAGGAAAGUGACAAUUGUUUAGAAACCCCACAGGCAUAGGUAACAUCACUAAACCUUAGACAGCUAGACAGAUCCUAAAGGUUGUAACUGCUGAACACUAAGGCUUUCUGGUACAUCUACAAAUCUACACAGUAGUGGAAUGUGAGUACAGGGAAGGAUGAAGUGAGAAUGAAGUCUCCAGGAAUGUUAAGAAGCAAAUGUUCCUAGAAGCUGUGGCCAAGCACAUGAGGGACUGGACAACUGGGAACAACCAGCAUGACCAAGGGUUCCUGAACUCCACAAUCUCAUGGCCACUGCAGCUGAGGAUGCUUUUGACCUUCACAACCCCACUGAGCUCCUCCUUGUU